GGUUAAGCGACUAAGCGUACACGGUGGAUGCCCUGGCAGUCAGAGGCGAUGAAGGACGUGCUAAUCUGCGAUAAGCGUCGGUAAGGUGAUAUGAACCGUUAUAACCGGCGAUUUCCGAAUGGGGAAACCCAGUGUGAUUCGUCACACUAUCAUUAACUGAAUCCAUAGGUUAAUGAGGCGAACCGGGGGAACUGAAACAUCUAAGUACCCCGAGGAAAAGAAAUCAACCGAGAUUCCCCCAGUAGCGGCGAGCGAACGGGGAGCAGCCCAGAGCCUGAAUCAGUGUGUGUGUUAGUGGAAGCGUCUGGAAAGGCGCGCGAUACAGGGUGACAGCCCCGUACACAAAAAUGCACAUGCUGUGAGCUCGAUGAGUAGGGCGGGACACGUGGUAUCCUGUCUGAAUAUGGGGGGACCAUCCUCCAAGGCUAAAUACUCCUGACUGACCGAUAGUGAACCAGUACCGUGAGGGAAAGGCGAAAAGAACCCCGGCGAGGGGAGUGAAAAAGAACCUGAAACCGUGUACGUACAAGCAGUGGGAGCACGCUUAGGCGUGUGACUGCGUACCUUUUGUAUAAUGGGUCAGCGACUUAUAUUCUGUAGCAAGGUUAACCGAAUAGGGGAGCCGAAGGGAAACCGAGUCUUAACUGGGCGUUAAGUUGCAGGGUAUAGACCCGAAACCCGGUGAUCUAGCCAUGGGCAGGUUGAAGGUUGGGUAACACUAACUGGAGGACCGAACCGACUAAUGUUGAAAAAUUAGCGGAUGACUUGUGGCUGGGGGUGAAAGGCCAAUCAAACCGGGAGAUAGCUGGUUCUCCCCGAAAGCUAUUUAGGUAGCGCCUCGUGAAUUCAUCUCCGGGGGUAGAGCACUGUUUCGGCAAGGGGGUCAUCCCGACUUACCAACCCGAUGCAAACUGCGAAUACCGGAGAAUGUUAUCACGGGAGACACACGGCGGGUGCUAACGUCCGUCGUGAAGAGGGAAACAACCCAGACCGCCAGCUAAGGUCCCAAAGUCAUGGUUAAGUGGGAAACGAUGUGGGAAGGCCCAGACAGCCAGGAUGUUGGCUUAGAAGCAGCCAUCAUUUAAAGAAAGCGUAAUAGCUCACUGGUCGAGUCGGCCUGCGCGGAAGAUGUAACGGGGCUAAACCAUGCACCGAAGCUGCGGCAGCGACGCUGAUGCGUUGUUGGGUAGGGGAGCGUUCUGUAAGCCUGUGAAGGUGUGCUGUGAGGCAUGCUGGAGGUAUCAGAAGUGCGAAUGCUGACAUAAGUAACGAUAAAGCGGGUGAAAAGCCCGCUCGCCGGAAGACCAAGGGUUCCUGUCCAACGUUAAUCGGGGCAGGGUGAGUCGACCCCUAAGGCGAGGCCGAAAGGCGUAGUCGAUGGGAAACAGGUUAAUAUUCCUGUACUUGGUGUUACUGCGAAGGGGGGGACGGAGAAGGCUAUGUUGGCCGGGCGACGGUUGUCCCGGUUUAAGCGUGUAGGCUGGUUUUCCAGGCAAAUCCGGAAAAUCAAGGCUGAGGCGUGAUGACGAGGCACUACGGUGCUGAAGCAACAAAUGCCCUGCUUCCAGGAAAAGCCUCUAAGCAUCAGGUAACAUCAAAUCGUACCCCAAACCGACACAGGUGGUCAGGUAGAGAAUACCAAGGCGCUUGAGAGAACUCGGGUGAAGGAACUAGGCAAAAUGGUGCCGUAACUUCGGGAGAAGGCACGCUGAUAUGUAGGUGAAGUCCCUCGCGGAUGGAGCUGAAAUCAGUCGAAGAUACCAGCUGGCUGCAACUGUUUAUUAAAAACACAGCACUGUGCAAACACGAAAGUGGACGUAUACGGUGUGACGCCUGCCCGGUGCCGGAAGGUUAAUUGAUGGGGUCAGCGCAAGCGAAGCUCUUGAUCGAAGCCCCGGUAAACGGCGGCCGUAACUAUAACGGUCCUAAGGUAGCGAAAUUCCUUGUCGGGUAAGUUCCGACCUGCACGAAUGGCGUAAUGAUGGCCAGGCUGUCUCCACCCGAGACUCAGUGAAAUUGAACUCGCUGUGAAGAUGCAGUGUACCCGCGGCAAGACGGAAAGACCCCGUGAACCUUUACUAUAGCUUGACACUGAACAUUGAGCCUUGAUGUGUAGGAUAGGUGGGAGGCUUAGAAGUGUGGACGCCAGUCUGCAUGGAGCCGACCUUGAAAUACCACCCUUUAAUGUUUGAUGUUCUAACGUUGACCCGUAAUCCGGGUUGCGGACAGUGUCUGGUGGGUAGUUUGACUGGGGCGGUCUCCUCCUAAAGAGUAACGGAGGAGCACGAAGGUUGGCUAAUCCUGGUCGGACAUCAGGAGGUUAGUGCAAUGGCAUAAGCCAGCUUGACUGCGAGCGUGACGGCGCGAGCAGGUGCGAAAGCAGGUCAUAGUGAUCCGGUGGUUCUGAAUGGAAGGGCCAUCGCUCAACGGAUAAAAGGUACUCCGGGGAUAACAGGCUGAUACCGCCCAAGAGUUCAUAUCGACGGCGGUGUUUGGCACCUCGAUGUCGGCUCAUCACAUCCUGGGGCUGAAGUAGGUCCCAAGGGUAUGGCUGUUCGCCAUUUAAAGUGGUACGCGAGCUGGGUUUAGAACGUCGUGAGACAGUUCGGUCCCUAUCUGCCGUGGGCGCUGGAGAACUGAGGGGGGCUGCUCCUAGUACGAGAGGACCGGAGUGGACGCAUCACUGGUGUUCGGGUUGUCAUGCCAAUGGCACUGCCCGGUAGCUAAAUGCGGAAGAGAUAAGUGCUGAAAGCAUCUAAGCACGAAACUUGCCCCGAGAUGAGUUCUCCCUGACUCCUUGAGAGUCCUGAAGGAACGUUGAAGACGACGACGUUGAUAGGCCGGGUGUGUAAGCGCAGCGAUGCGUUGAGCUAACCGGUACUAAUGAACCGUGAGGCUUAACCUU
RNAcentral lists this ribosomal RNA (2905 nucleotides) under Escherichia coli. RNAcentral's name for it is "23S ribosomal RNA". It matches the Rfam family "Bacterial large subunit ribosomal RNA". The record is from RNAcentral. Lineage: Bacteria; Pseudomonadati; Pseudomonadota; Gammaproteobacteria; Enterobacterales; Enterobacteriaceae.